CCCGGAAUGUUACAUGCAUACAAGAUGCGAAUCGCAUAGGUAUAAUGCAAUAGGUAUAUGUGCAGAUAUAUUGUAGUGAUUCUUUUAAACGGCAAUGUUUCGUAAAAUUGUUAGAUGAUGGAGAGGGAACCACAUUUCCCUGCCCUAUGAUAUAAGGUUUAAACGGAUAUUCGAUCUCCAGCAAAAAUAUAAAAACUUUUGGCAAAGU
This is a non-coding RNA of Cinara cedri, 208 nucleotides long. The record is from the annotation of a GenBank genome assembly. NCBI's taxonomy places the organism in Eukaryota, Metazoa, Arthropoda, Insecta, Hemiptera, Aphididae.